UACGUAGGGCGCGAGCGUUGUCCGGAUUUAUUGGGCGUAAAGAGCUCGUAGGCGGCUCGUUGCGUCAACCGUGAAAUCCCGGGGCUUAACUUCGGGCUUGCGGUUGAUACGGGCGGGCUGGAGUUCGGUAGGGGAGACUGGAAUUCCUGGUGUAGCGGUGAAAUGCGUAGAUAUCAGGAGGAACACCGGUGGCGAAGGCGGGUCUCUGGGCCGAUACUGACGCUGAGGAGCGAAAGCGUGGGGAGCGAACAGG
This 253-nucleotide ribosomal RNA is filed under the name uncultured bacterium. RNAcentral describes it as "partial 16S ribosomal RNA". It matches the Rfam family "Bacterial small subunit ribosomal RNA", at positions 524 to 776 of the family's 1533-position model. The record is from RNAcentral.